RNAcentral lists this ribosomal RNA (441 nucleotides) under uncultured bacterium. RNAcentral's name for it is "bacterial SSU rRNA". It matches the Rfam family "Bacterial small subunit ribosomal RNA", at positions 84 to 543 of the family's 1533-position model. The record is from RNAcentral.
GGGUGAGGAAACCGGCGCACGGGUGAGUAACACGCAGCUGAUCUGCCCCUUAGAGGUGGAUAACCUUUGGAAACAGAGGCUAAUACACCAUAAGCUCACGACUUGUAGAGAGUUGUGAGAAAAGUUCAGGCGCUAAGGGAUGAGGCUGCGAGCCAUCAGCUAGUUGGUGAGGUAAAGGCUUACCAAGGCGACGACGGCUAGGGGACCUGAGAGGGUGACCCCCCACACUGGAACUGAGAAACGGUCCAGACUUCUACGGAAGGCAGCAGUGAGGAAUAUUGCACAAUGGGCGCAAGCCUGAUGCAGCGACGCCGCGUGGGUGAAGAAGGAUUUCGGUCUGUAAAGCCCUUUUCUGUGUGACGAGAAUGGACGGUAGCACAGGAAUAAGUCUCGGCUAACUACGUGCCAGCAGCCGCGGUAAAAUGUAGGAGGCAAGCGUUA